ACUUUUUAUUUUUUACAUUUCAAAAUUAAUUUUAUCAAUUGUUUACGAAAAUAUAAAAGUAGAUAUUGGAGAGUAAGAAAAAAAUAGGAGAGAAAGGAAGGAACGUGCGAAAUUUGGCGCCUGAUAGCGCCACGAUGGUGCAUUCUCAAGGAAAAUAAACCGUUCGCUGUCUGACUAUUUGAUUUAUGAGCGCGGGCGACAACCUACCGCACGGCAUACUGAAAUAGAUCAAGAGGAGAACCAUUGCAGUGCAUGCGCGAGGUAAAUCACCUUAUAUAUUAAUAUGCAUGCACAUACAUUGCGUGGGCGCUGACCAUUAAGGUGUUGUUACGACAUCAGACGCAGAGUACACACGUUUGUAAAUACCACUUUACAUGGAACACAUUUGGACGCGUGUAUGUUACAUGAUCUGUUCCGUAUUUGGAAUAUCAACAUUAGAGUGGAUCUUCAUAUUUAUACUGAAUAUACGUCACAAACAAGUUCUUAUACUUAUAUUGUU
Long non-coding RNA from Apis florea (little honeybee), 499 nucleotides. The record is from RefSeq and is a predicted model, not a curated record. Lineage: Eukaryota; Metazoa; Arthropoda; Insecta; Hymenoptera; Apidae.